This is a long non-coding RNA of Ictalurus punctatus (channel catfish), 1502 nucleotides long. NCBI's taxonomy places the organism in Eukaryota, Metazoa, Chordata, Actinopteri, Siluriformes, Ictaluridae. The record is from Ensembl.
AAAACAACAAAAAAAAAAGAGAGAGAGAGAGAAAAGAAAAGAAAAAAGAGAAAGAAAAAAAAGAGCGCUGCGUGAAACCGGAUGAUUUUCUGCACUUUUAAAGUGCGCUUCAGGGGGAUUUUUGAAAAGUUGUUUUUUUUUUUUUUUUUUUUUAAAGAAAAAAAAAAAAGAAAAAGAAAAAAGUGGGCAGGGAGUGUGCUCGAGGUGUCUCGUGCGCUCUGACGCGCUCUCUCUGUCUGUCUCUUUUGUGGUGGGGAACCCGGGAACCAUCCUCCUUCCAUCCAUCAGCCCUGAAGUUUAGCAUCUGUUGCUUUUGAAAGAAGGAAGGAGGGCCAAAGAAAGAAAGACAAACAAGACGCACCAAACAAAUAAAAACGGAAGAUGCGUCUCGCGCGGUGAGGGCUCGGUGCGGGUCACCUGUUGCGGGAGAAAGCAUGGGAGUGCUCAGCGCGGACCUGCGGGUCACCCUGCAGAUUCUACCCGGCUUCUUCUCCAACUGCCUGUUCUUCGUGCUCUACGACUCGGUAGUGCUCGUGAAGCGCGUCGUGUCGCUCGUGAGCCUCUCGUGCGGCGGCGGCGGCGGCGCGUGGCAGCAGCGCAUGUUGACCUCGGCCGGCGUGCGCUCCAUCUGGAACAGCUUUCUGCUGGACGCCUAUAAGCAGAAUUUUCUCCCGGACUUGUUGUGAUGGCAGCUUGUCAGGAUGCUGUUUGUUCAUGACGGUUUGACCUUUACAGACCACAUUUCAACAACUCCACGAUCCUGUAGGUUCAUUCCGUACGACAUCAAGAAAAUCAGACCGGAUCUCACCGAACAGGCUACGCGGAUACUAGUCCAGGCUCUUGUCAUAUCAAAACUGGACUACUGCAACGCACUACUCUCGGGUCUCCCAGCCAGCUCCAUCAAACCCCUUCAGAUGAUUCAGAAUGCAGCAGCACGCCUCGUCUUCAACCAGCCCGAAAGGACCCACCCUCUUCAUCUCCCUCCACUGGCUUCCUGUAUCCGCCCGUAUCAAAUUCAAGGCCUUGAUGAUCACGUACAAGACCUUGUCUGGAACCGCGCCCCCUUACCUCAACACUCUCCUGAAGGCUUACGUUCCCUCACGCGAUCUGCGAUCGGUUAACGACCGACGCUUAGAAGUGCCUACUCAGCGUGCCUCAAGGUCCCUUUCCAGAACCUUCAAACUAACCGUUCCUCAGUGGUGGAAUGAACUUCCGACCUCAAUCCGGACCGUACAAUCCGUCACUAUCUUCCAAAAAAACAGCUAAAGACCCAGCUCCUCCGUGAACACCUAACUAACCCCUAAGAUGUUCACCCCCACAUUAUUUCUUAAAAUAAAUAAAUAAAUAACAGAAAUCUCUGGCUCUUACACCUCUGCGCACUUUCCUUCACUAGAACUCGAUUAUAAAUCUUGCAUUGCAGCACGACUUGCAUUGAAAGAUCAUUUGUAAGUCGCUUUGGAUAAAAGCGUCCGCUAAAUGAAUAAAUGCAAUGGAAUGUUCAG